CAGCCGCCGCGGGAAUACGGAGGGUGCAAGUGUUAAUCGGAAUUACUGGGCGUAAAGCGCACGCAGGCGGUUUGUUAAGUCAGAUGUGAGAUCCCCGAGCUUAACUUGGGAACUGCAUUUGAAACUGGCAAGCUAGAGUCUUGUAGAGGGGGGUAGAAUUCCAGGUGUAGCGGUGAAAUGCGUAGAGAUCUGGAGGAAUACCGGUGGCGAAGGCGGCCCCCUGGGCCAAUACUGACGCUCAUGCACGAAAGCGUGGGGAGCAAACAGGAUUAGAUACCCGAGUAGUCCCUGUCUCUUAUAC
This 301-nucleotide ribosomal RNA is filed under the name uncultured bacterium. RNAcentral describes it as "partial 16S ribosomal RNA". It matches the Rfam family "Bacterial small subunit ribosomal RNA", at positions 509 to 807 of the family's 1533-position model. The record is from RNAcentral.